GUCCGGCCCUUGGGGCAGAGCGGGGUGAAAGCCUGCGCGUGGCCUGCGUGCACGGCCCUUCCCACUGAGGUCCUCUCGGGCCUCGCACCGCCCCCCACCCCGCCCCCAACCCCCGGCGCUCGCUCCGAAGGGCCUCGGAGGUGGCCGCGUCUGCGCAAGCUGGGGACGGCCUCGGGAGGCGGGGCUGGGCCUAACCCUGUGCGCGUUCGGAGACUGCGGCGCGCAGACAGGUCCUGGGCCCGCCCCGGCCCCUUGCGGGGCGGGGCGUGUCCCUCCGAGUGCCCCCAGCUAGGGACUGUGCAGGCCGGGGCUAGGCGGGGGCAGCGGGGAAGCCGGGCUGAUGGGGCCUGCGCCUGCCCCGUGAGGCUCUCACCGAAUCCCUGCUGUCUCCGGGCAGCUGAUGGGCGCCGGCCCCGCGUAGCGGGCGUGGCUGUGGCCGUGUCUCCGGGUGGUCUGAGCCCACUGCGCGUGUGGAUCCGCGUGGGAGCUGGGUUCCAGAGCCUCGUCCUGAGGCGGAGCCGAGCGAGGGAGGAGGCUGGACUCGGCGGGGGAAGAGCACGGCGCCGGGCGCACCCGUGUUUGCCGGCCCUGCCCUGGGCCCUGCAGGUCCGCUGGCCCCGCCGCGCCUACUGGGGAUGCCCAGUGUGCCCCAGGCAGCCCCAGCCUGCGUCCCGCUCCCUGAGCCCUCGGGAGAGAUUUGGACCUAGUGAAAGGACGUCGGUCCUUAGCCCCAGCUAUGGACUCCACAGCAUCAGCUUCCCCUUCUCAGAAUCCUGCUCUUCCUCCAGAGAGAUUCCCAGGAGAAAAGGGAACAACCAGUUCAUUCCUGAAAGCUAGGCCUCAGGUGAGUUGUGUUGUCAGUUUUUCCUCAAAUGCCUGAACCACGGUUAGCUUUGCCUACUUUUCACCAAAAAGUAGCCUUUUUGUUCGCUAAGGGAACUGACCCACUGCUGCCUCUGCUGGAGGCUCAGCCCAUCCAAGUGAAUGAUGGCUUCCUGCCCU
RNAcentral lists this long non-coding RNA (1002 nucleotides) under Piliocolobus tephrosceles (Ugandan red Colobus). RNAcentral describes it as "lncRNA (ENSPTEG00000027137.1)". The record is from RNAcentral. Lineage: Eukaryota; Metazoa; Chordata; Mammalia; Primates; Cercopithecidae.